GGUAAACGGCGGCCGUAACUAUAACGGUCCUAAGGUAGCGAAAUUCCUUGUCGGGUAAGUUCCGACCUGCACGAAUGGCGUAAUGAUGGCCAGGCUGUCUCCACCCGAGACUCAGUGAAAUUGAACUCGCUGUGAAGAUGCAGUGUACCCGCGGCAAGACGGAAAGACCCCGUGAACCUUUACUAUAGCUUGACACUGAACACUGGUCCUUGAUGUGUAGGAUAGGUGGGAGGCUUUGAAGUGUGGACGCCAGUCUGCAUGGAGCCAUCCUUGAAAUACCACCCUUUAAUGGCUGGUGUUCUAACGUGGGCCCGUAAUCCGGGUUGCGGACAGUGUCUGGUGGGUAGUUUGACUGGGGCGGUCUCCUCCUAAAGAGUAACGGAGGAGCACGAAGGUCAGCUAAUCCUGGUCGGACAUCAGGAGGUUAGUGCAAUGGCAUAAGCUGGCUUGACUGCGAGCGUGACGGCGCGAGCAGGUGCGAAAGCAGGUCAUAGUGAUCCGGUGGUUCUGAAUGGAAGGGCCAUCGCUCAACGGAUAAAAGGUACUCCGGGGAUAACAGGCUGAUACCGCCCAAGAGUUCAUAUCGACGGCGGUGUUUGGCACCUCGAUGUCGGCUCAUCACAUCCUGGGGCUGAAGUAGGUCCCAAGGGUAUGGCUGUUCGCCAUUUAAAGUGGUACGCGAGCUGGGUUUAGAACGUCGUGAGACAGUUCGGUCCCUAUCUGCCGUGGGCGCUGGAGAAUUGAGGGGGGCUGCUCCUAGUACGAGAGGACCGGAGUGGACGCAUCACUGGUGUUCGGGUUGUCAUGCCAAUGGCAUUGCCCGGUAGCUAAAUGCGGAAGAGAUAAGUGCUGAAAGCAUCUAAGCACGAAACUUGCCCCGAGAUGAGUUCUCCCUGACCCUUUAAGGGUCCUGAAGG
Molecule: ribosomal RNA, 917 nt
Filed under: Klebsiella michiganensis
Lineage: Bacteria; Pseudomonadati; Pseudomonadota; Gammaproteobacteria; Enterobacterales; Enterobacteriaceae
Description: partial 23S ribosomal RNA
Rfam family: Bacterial large subunit ribosomal RNA
Source: RNAcentral